AGCUCCAAUAGCGUAUAUUAAAGUUGUUGCGGUUAAAAAGCUCGUAGUUGGAUUUCUGCCGAGGACGACCGGUCCGCCCUCUGGGUGAGUAUCUGGCUCGGCCUGGGCAUCUUCUUGGAGAACGUUACUGCACUUGACUGUGUGGUGCGGUAUCCAGGACUUUUACUUUGAGGAAAUUAGAGUGUUUCAAGCAGGCUUACGCCUUGAAUACAUUAGCAUGGAAUAAUAAGAUAGGACCUCGGUUCUAUUUUGUUGGUUUCUAGAGCUGAGGUAAUGAUUAAUAGGGAUAGUUGGGGGCAUUCGUAUUUAACUGUCAGAGGUGAAAUUCUUGGAUUUGUUAAAGACGAACUACUGCGAAAGCAUUUGCCAAGGAUGUUUUCA
This 381-nucleotide ribosomal RNA is filed under the name fish environmental sample. RNAcentral's name for it is "SSU rRNA". It matches the Rfam family "Eukaryotic small subunit ribosomal RNA", at positions 587 to 972 of the family's 1831-position model. Lineage: Eukaryota; Metazoa; Chordata. The record is from RNAcentral.